Long non-coding RNA from Hyla sarda, 391 nucleotides. RefSeq lists it as uncharacterized. NCBI's taxonomy places the organism in Eukaryota, Metazoa, Chordata, Amphibia, Anura, Hylidae. The transcript is spliced from 3 exons. The record is from RefSeq and is a predicted model, not a curated record.
GCUGUCCAGGCAUGCUGAGAGUUGAAUGUUUGCAACAUCUGGAGGGCCACCAGUUUGAGACCCCUGCUCUAUGCAUUCUCUAGAUUUUCUUAUUUAUCUUAUCACUUUUUUAGCGUACCAUUUGCUGGCUCUACAUCUUCUUCAUCCCUGGCUAUUGGGCUACCUCAGGCUACCUACUGCAGCUAAUGGAUCAUCCUCAUGAAGCCACCACCGGUGCCUUAUUCACAAAGUGUAUUGUAUUGCUUGACAUCAGGGCACUUAUAAGACCUUGGAUGGUGCCAGUCAAUCAGGAUAUAUCCUUUGCAUAAUCGGGUCCCUUAUCCUUUAUUCACACAAUAUUGUACUUCUACAUCACAAAUUUUAACAUGAUUGUGAGAAAGAGACAGUCCAA